UGACCAUAUUUUUUGGCAGCGGCCCGGUGCUCGAAUGGUUUGCGCGUCGACCUCACAGUGCAGAGGUCAUGGGUUCGAUCCCUGCUCCGGCCUUCCUGUGUGGAGUUUGCAUGUUCUUCCCGUGCCUGCGUGGGUU
Molecule: long non-coding RNA, 136 nt
Organism: Hippocampus comes (tiger tail seahorse)
Lineage: Eukaryota; Metazoa; Chordata; Actinopteri; Syngnathiformes; Syngnathidae
Exons: 3
Source: RefSeq, a predicted model, not a curated record